RNAcentral lists this ribosomal RNA (501 nucleotides) under uncultured bacterium. RNAcentral describes it as "partial 16S ribosomal RNA". It matches the Rfam family "Bacterial small subunit ribosomal RNA", at positions 30 to 523 of the family's 1533-position model. The record is from RNAcentral.
AUUGAACGCUGGCGGCAGGCUUAACACAUGCAAGUCGAGCGGGGGAAGGUAGCUUGCUACCGGACCUAGCGGCGGACGGGUGAGUAAUGCUUAGGAAUCUGCCUAUUAGUGGGGGACAACAUCUCGAAAGGGAUGCUAAUACCGCAUACGUCCUACGGGAGAAAGCAGGGGAUCUUCGGACCUUGCGCUAAUAGAUGAGCCUAAGUCGGAUUAGCUAGUUGGUGGGGUAAAGGCCUACCAAGGCGACGAUCUGUAGCGGGCCUGAGAGGAUGAUCCGCCACACUCGGACUGGGACACGGCCCAGACUCAUACGGGAGGCAGGAGUGGGGAAUAUUGGAGAAUGGGGGGAACCCUGAUCCAGCCAUGCCGCGUGUGUGAAGAAGGCCUUAUGGUUGUAAAGCACUUUAAGCGAGGAGGAGGCUACUUUAGUUAAUACCCAAGAUGAGUGGACGUUACUCGCAGAAUAAGCACCGGCUAACUCUGUGCCAGCAGCCGCGGUAA